AUUUAUUUUUAUUGGGGUAGCCCCCCAAAUAUUGGGACAUAUAAAAAAGACAACUCUGUUCCGCAGAGUAGCUGUUGACAUUAUAGUUGCGCAGGCACUUUGUUGACUCUAGAGAACCUCGGGCCAAUCGCACAUCCCCGUGACGGCGACUUUGCAUUUGGAUGUCAUCCAUAUCAACUUUCGAUGCCAGUUUCUGCGCCUACCAUGGUGACCACGGGUAACGGGGAAUCAGGGUUCCAUUCCGUACAGGGACCCUGAGAAACGGCUACCACAUGCAAGGAAGGCAGCAGGCGCGCAAAUGACCCACUCCCGACGCGGGAAGGUAGUGACGACAAAUAACAAUACAGGACUCUUUAGAGGCCCUGUAAUUGUAAUGAGU
This is a non-coding RNA of Pelobates cultripes (western spadefoot toad), 379 nucleotides long. NCBI's taxonomy places the organism in Eukaryota, Metazoa, Chordata, Amphibia, Anura, Pelobatidae. The record is from the annotation of a GenBank genome assembly.